CCUACGGGGGGCAGCAGUGGGGAAUAUUGGACAAUGGGGGGAACCCUGAUCCAGCCAUGCCGCGUGUGUGAAGAAGGCCCUCGGGUUGUAAAGCACUUUCAGUGAGGAAGAACGCCUGGUGGUUAAUACCCAUCAGGAAAGACAUCACUCACAGAAGAAGCACCGGCUAACUCCGUGCCAGCAGCCGCGGUAAUACGGAGGGUGCGAGCGUUAAUCGGAAUUACUGGGCGUAAAGCGCGCGUAGGUGGCCUGAUAAGCCGGUUGUGAAAGCCCCGGGCUCAACCUGGGAACGGCAUCCGGAACUGUCAAGCUAGAGUGCAGGAGAGGAAGGUAGAAUUCCCGGUGUAGCGGUGAAAUGCGUAGAGAUCGGGAGGAAUACCAGUGGCGAAGGCGGCCUUCUGGACUGACACUGACACUGAGGUGCGAAAGCGUGGGUAGCAAACAGGAUUAGAUACCCGGGUAGUC
Molecule: ribosomal RNA, 465 nt
Filed under: Vreelandella stevensii
Lineage: Bacteria; Pseudomonadati; Pseudomonadota; Gammaproteobacteria; Oceanospirillales; Halomonadaceae
Description: partial 16S ribosomal RNA
Rfam family: Bacterial small subunit ribosomal RNA
Source: RNAcentral